AUGUAAGGGCCUGAAAUAAAUAAGGCUAUUGGGUCUUAUGUUAAGGCAGUUAGGCCCAUAGACUAAGGGUACCUUAGCCUUAGAAGGGACUUUUCAGAAAUCCAAGUUCAUUACACAGUUUUCCUUUCUCUCUCUAAAAAAAACAAAAACCCUUUUUUCCCUAAAAGGUUCUCUGCCUUCUCUCUAGAAUUCCCACUCAUUGAACC
This 206-nucleotide long non-coding RNA is filed under the name Vigna radiata. Its description in RNAcentral is "long non-coding RNA (VRAD_LNC014545)". The record is from RNAcentral. Lineage: Eukaryota; Viridiplantae; Streptophyta; Magnoliopsida; Fabales; Fabaceae.